CUUUUAUCUUAUCAAGUCUUUUGACAGAAUAUCUUGGUGUGAUUGUGAACAAGAAGGAUGAACAUGGGUCAGUGGGUCAAACCCUUUUUCAAAGGGACCUCCACUUAAAUAGUGUCUGAGGGUUUUUUGUACCAAACAUAGAUGACCACUCCUGGAAGAUUGGACCCAAGUUCUGGGGUGGAGAUGAUCCUGUCUGGCAUCCCUUCAUCUCCACUCCUCAGUGGACAGUCAACCCCACACCUAAAUAGGACAUGUGCCUGCCUUUUCCUUAGCCUGUCAUAGUGGAGCUGAUGGUGCAGGACUGAAACAACCAAGAAGGAAUGGGGUGCUGUGGUACACACCUAUAAUCCCAGCAACUCCUGAGGAUGAAGCAGGAGGAGCUCAAGUUUGAGGCCAGUCUCAAUAACUGUCUCAAAGAGAAAAAAGGGACUGGGGAUGUAGCUCAGUGGUAAAGUUGCCCUGGGUUCAAUUCCAGUACCAAUGAAAUGAAGAAGAAAGAACCCAAAAGAAGGAAGCUUGCUAUCAUUGCUAGAGGCCACAGUGAAAGCCAGAAGGUCCAGCUUCCCAUGAGUUGGACCACACCUGAACCUUCCUCUCAUGAAGUAGCUAUGCCUGCCAACUUGAGAAGAGAAUGCAUGAUACCAAAGCUGUGCUUUCACUGCUCUGCUGCCUGUGUUCUCCAGGAAGCUCACUCAGUCCAGUUGAGAGAAUGUGCCCUGCUGUAUUCAUGCCCUGGAGACUAGAGGCAAAGCCCCAGGCUGAGACAAAGUUCUUACAGAGAACUUUAUAUCAAAGACCACUUCCCAGAGCCACCCACACACAGGCAUCAUGUGGCAUUAUGCCAGUAGAGAGAGUCAGGCACAGCAUGGACCUGAGCUGUGCCCAGAGAGGAUGUUCAGUACACAGAGCCCUUCACGAUAAGCUCCGAGUCCUGUCUGCCUUCUCUGCUGAUUAUAGCAGCACUUAAGAUGUUGGAAUGCUAGAAAUGGCCUCUGUACCUCUUGGCAUGGGAACCAUUAGCUCUGUACAUCAGUCUCACCCAAUCCUAGUUCACUUGGGGAUUUAUGGACACUGUUUUUCACUGUGUAGGUUUUCCUUUCUACUCUAGCAUCUUUACUAUGGAUGCAACCCUGAUGUGAAAGGUUGAGAAGUUCCCGUUUCACUGACUAUGAACUUACUGUCCUCCCAGGAACUGAACCCUCAUGGUAGAGGACCUCUCUGAGGGUGUCCAGGCCACCUAGCACUGGGAGUGCACUUGAGCACUAGAAGAUCUCUUUUCCUGUGGCUGCAGGUGUGACUUUAAUAUUGUCUUUCUUCUUAUACUUUGUCCUACUAGGCUCAGCAAAGUAGGAACCAGAUCUCCCUCCUUUCCUAAUGGGUACGUUCCCUUAGAGGAAAGAUGCCACACCAGUUUGUCAUCUGGUGAGGGUUUUGAUGGCUUCCUUUAUAAGUCUG
RNAcentral lists this long non-coding RNA (1455 nucleotides) under Marmota monax (woodchuck). Lineage: Eukaryota; Metazoa; Chordata; Mammalia; Rodentia; Sciuridae. The record is from RNAcentral.